GAUGAACGCUGGCGGCGUGCCUAAUACAUGCAAGUCGAGCGAACAGAUGAGGAGCUUGCUCCUCUGACGUUAGCGGCGGACGGGUGAGUAACACGUGGAUAACCUACCUAUAAGACUGGGAUAACUUCGGGAAACCGGAGCUAAUACCGGAUAAUAUAUUGAACCGCAUGGUUCAAUAGUGAAAGACGGUUUUGCUGUCACUUAUAGAUGGAUCCGCGCCGCAUUAGCUAGUUGGUAAGGUAACGGCUUACCAAGGCAACGAUGCGUAGCCGACCUGAGAGGGUGAUCCGCCACACUGGAACUGAGACACGGUCCAGACUCCUACGGGAGGCAGCAGUAGGGAAUCUUCCGCAAUGCGCGAAAGCCUGACGGAGCAACGCCGCGUGAGUGAUGAAGGUCUUCGGAUCGUAAAACUCUGUUAUUAGGGAAGAACAAAUGUGUAAGUAACUAUGCUCGUCUUGACGGUACCUAAUCAGAAAGCCACGGCUAACUACGUG
Molecule: ribosomal RNA, 497 nt
Filed under: uncultured bacterium
Lineage: Bacteria
Description: partial 16S ribosomal RNA
Rfam family: Bacterial small subunit ribosomal RNA
Source: RNAcentral